ACUAUGCCUGUGGGUGGCGCGUACACCCCAGGGAAUUUACUAUUAAAAAAAAAACACGCCUUUCCUCCGGUGAAGACGCUACUAGAAAGCAACAAGGACUGGUUGAAAGCUGUGAGAGAGAGAGUUAAGCCGCAUGACAGCGAGCUUCUCAAGAUACCUCCGAUUGGUUUUAGAAAGGGAUAGACCAUUUGAAUCUGACCCUGGUGGUCAGUGGCGAGCCAACCGCAGAAGUGAACGGACCAAGAGCCUGGUGUGGCCAGCCGUGGCAACUUUGGAACCAUCAUCAUCCUGUGCCUUCAAUUGAAAUACAGAUAAGAACACACGUAAACCUACCCGGGUAGUGAAAAGAACAUGCAUACUCCAAGAAACACACACACACCAAGAACUUUCUUGGACUCUUUCUUUAUUUGAGGUUAUUUAUUUUGGGUUUAUUGUGCGCUGUGCACUCAGGAAGCCGGCUUAGGUAGGCAGGGAAUGUAAAUAACUGCCAUUCAUUUUGUAUAAUACAUUUCUCAAAUUUACCUGUUUUGUGUUGUCUGUUCUCUGCUGACCUUUUACUAUUUCAGGCUCCGUAGUCGUACCUAGAGGUUCUGAUAUUAGCCCAGCUUUAAUUCCUUACUACUUAAAUUAGUUAUCAGUUACACUAACCUGAGACCCGGGUUACAUGUACAUUUGGCCCUGACCACAUAUCCAGUGAAAAGACAAAUGUAAACAUGUUUGUGAUGUAUGAAUGUAAUCCAAUCGCGAGGUAUAUUCAGGACUCGGGACGCAUCAUGAUUGGAUCAUCAUAUCCACAUUCACACGUCGACAUUAUACAAACCUCACCCAUUAUCAUUAUGUCCCCUUCUAUUUCCAAGGGCUUUACCAGAAAAUAGACUUGAAGGCUCUUUUGUGCAUAGACUAAUUUGCAGCUGAUUGGUCGUUGCAUUCACAUGUCUAAUUGUGAUUGGCUAAAAUGCUCAAAGCUGCAAAAACAAAGAAACACAUAAAUAGAAUCCUUUGGCACAGCGGGAGUAGAUCAAAAUGCUGUGUAUGAUUAGCCCUAAUUCGUGUGUAACUG
Molecule: long non-coding RNA, 1060 nt
Organism: Sinocyclocheilus anshuiensis
Lineage: Eukaryota; Metazoa; Chordata; Actinopteri; Cypriniformes; Cyprinidae
Source: Ensembl